RNAcentral lists this unclassified non-coding RNA (369 nucleotides) under uncultured fungus. RNAcentral describes it as "sequence contains ITS1". The stretch from base 1 to 118 matches the Rfam family "5.8S ribosomal RNA", at positions 50 to 154 of the family's 154-position model. Lineage: Eukaryota; Fungi. The record is from RNAcentral.
GAAAUGCGAUACUUAAUGUGAAUUGCAACCCCCUGUGAAUCAUCGAGUUUUUGAACGUAAAUUACACCUUUUCGGAUGUCUAAAAACAUUGCGAAAGGGUAUACAUUUUUAAGAGUAUCGAAAAAAAAGAUCCAAAUCUUUCAUUUGGAGUAAUAACGGUCAAUAUUUUUGGGUUUGGUUCAGUGGUAUAAUGGAACUAUCAUCUACUUUUUAGGGAUGGUGGGGCUUUGAUUGCACUUUUUAGGGUUUUCAUUGCUCUUUUGUAUUGAGUAACCUUACUUUGAAGUUGAUCGAAAGACUUGAUAGAUCAUUAUCAGUUUUACUUUUUAUGAUGGACUUUAAGAAUGUAUGGAAACCUGCUGAAUUUAA